This 689-nucleotide ribosomal RNA is filed under the name uncultured Actinomycetales bacterium. RNAcentral's name for it is "bacterial SSU rRNA". It matches the Rfam family "Bacterial small subunit ribosomal RNA", at positions 69 to 768 of the family's 1533-position model. The record is from RNAcentral. Lineage: Bacteria; Bacillati; Actinomycetota; Actinomycetes; Actinomycetales.
AAAGGCUCCUUGCUUGCAAGGGGUACUCGAGUGGCGAACGGGUGAGUAACACGUGGGUGAUCUGCCUUGCACUUCGGGAUAAGCCUGGGAAACUGGGUCUAAUACCGGAUAGGACCAUGCUUUAGUGUGUGUGGUGGAAAGUUUUUUCGGUGCAAGAUGAGCCCGCGGCCUAUCAGCUUGUUGGUGGGGUAAUGGCCUACCAAGGCGACGACGGGUAGCCGGCCUGAGAGGGUGUACGGCCACAUUGGGACUGAGACACGGCCCAGACUCCUACGGGAGGCAGCAGUGGGGAAUAUUGCACAAUGGGCGCAAGCCUGAUGCAGCGACGCCGCGUGGGGGAUGAAGGCCUUCGGGUUGUAAACUCCUUUCGCUAGGGAAGAAGCCACUUGUGGUGACGGUACCUGGAUAAGAAGCACCGGCUAACUACGUGCCAGCAGCCGCGGUAAUACGUAGGGUGCGAGCGUUGUCCGGAAUUACUGGGCGUAAAGAGCUCGUAGGUGGUUUGUCGCGUCGUCUGUGAAAUCCCGGGGCUUACUUCGGGCGUGCAGGCGAUACGGGCAUAACUAGAGUGCUGUAGGGGAGACUGGAUUCCUGGUGUAGCGGUGAAAUGCGCAGAUAUCAGGAGGACACCGAUGGCGAAGGCAGGUCUCUGGGCAGUUACUGACGCUGAGGAGCGAAAGCAUGGGUAG